This is a long non-coding RNA of Dermacentor silvarum, 649 nucleotides long. RefSeq lists it as uncharacterized. The transcript has 3 exons. Lineage: Eukaryota; Metazoa; Arthropoda; Arachnida; Ixodida; Ixodidae. The record is from RefSeq and is a predicted model, not a curated record.
UUGGGGGUCCAAGCCCAGAGUCUUGCACGCGCAGGGUUUUGAGAAGUGUGCUGUCAGACAAACUUGCAUCAACAUUCUCAUGGCACGGACGAAAGGGGAAGAAUGCCUUUGACUGUCUGCUUCUCUCCAAGUGCAUUGUUGAUGCUGUAAAGGUCACCCAUAGAUGUGACAAUUUUGUGGUGGAAAGUGCAACCAAAGACUGGCUUCGUCAUGCCCCGGCAAGAUGUGCAUCGGAAAAGUCAGCCAGCCAUCCUUCCAGCCUGCCAGCUAGUGAUCCAACCAGUGACUAGACGUGAUUCAGCCAUUGACUAGACAUGUGAUUCAGCCAGUGACUAGACAUGUGAUUCAGCCAGUGACUAGACAUGUGAUUCAGCCAGUGACUAGACCCGUGUCCCAGCCAGCGACUAGACCCGUGUCCCAGCCAGCGACUAGACCCGUGACCCAGCCAGCGAACUAGACCAGUGAUCCAGCCAGCGACUACUAGACCAGUGAUCCAUCCAGCCAGCCCCUGCCACGGCAUGAACAUAAGUUGGGCGUGAGCUUCUUCGGCAGGUUGCUUUGGGAGAGGGUUUGUUUUUACUUUACUGAAGGCUUUACUUCUUUUAACUUGCUUCGCAUUAGCUGGCACAUUUUGCAUGCACUGCUGAAG